CGUCUAUAUACGUAUAGCAUAUCAAUAAGCGGAGGAAAAGAAACUAACAAGGAUUCCCCUAGUAACGGCGAGUGAAGCGGGAAGAGCUCAAAUUUGAAAUCUUCAAGGGUUUCCCUUGACGAAUUGUAGUUUAAAGAAGUGUUUUCUGUUAGAGAGGUGGUAAAAGUUCUUUGGAAUAGGACAUCAUAGAGGGUGAGAAUCCCGUAUUUGAUCACUUUCUACUAACGUUGUGAUACACUUUCAAAGAGUCGGAUUGUUUGGGAAUGCAGUCCAAAAUGGGUGGUAAAUCUCAUCUAAAGCUAAAUAUUGGCGAGAGACCGAUAGCGAACAAGUACCGUGAGGGAAAGAUGAAAAGAACUUUGAAAAGAGAGUUAAACAGUACGUGAAAUUGUCAAAAGGGAAGCGUUUGACACCAGUGUUGUUUUUCCGAAAAUCAAUUAAGAAUGGCCGGAUUUUAAGUUUCAUGACCUUGAAAGCUUGUUUCUUAUUUUUCUUGUCUUUCUUAAUGCACUUUUCGGUUAACAAGUCAACAUCAAUUUCUUUUGUUGUAAAAGGUUAAGAGGAAGGUGGCUUUACUUUCGGGUAAAGUGUUUAUAGCCUUUUAACUCUGCAAUCGGAGAGAUUGAGGUCUGCAGCGUAGAUCCUUCGGGGCUAGAUACGUUUGUGCUAAGUUAUAGCUUUUCAUAGACAACUUGUUGACUAUGUUUAGUCUUGUAGCUUACUCGCAUGCGCUAUUUUACCUACGCUUAGGAUGU
Molecule: ribosomal RNA, 755 nt
Filed under: uncultured Neocallimastigales
Lineage: Eukaryota; Fungi; Neocallimastigomycota; Neocallimastigomycetes; Neocallimastigales
Description: partial large subunit ribosomal RNA
Rfam family: Eukaryotic large subunit ribosomal RNA
Source: RNAcentral